AAAGGGUCCGUAGGCGGUUUGGUAAGUCAGUGGUGAAAGCCCAUCGCUUAACGAUGGAACGGCCAUUGAUACUGCCAGACUUGAAUUACUAGGAAGUAACUAGAAUAUGUAGUGUAGCGGUGAAAUGCUUAGAUAUUACAUGGAAUACCAAUUGCGAAGGCAGGUUACUACUAGUGGAUUGACGCUGAUGGACGAAAGCGUGGGGAGCGAACAGGAUUAGAUACCCGGGU
This 230-nucleotide ribosomal RNA is filed under the name uncultured bacterium. RNAcentral's name for it is "partial 16S ribosomal RNA". It matches the Rfam family "Bacterial small subunit ribosomal RNA", at positions 562 to 791 of the family's 1533-position model. The record is from RNAcentral.